AUUAAAUUGGGGUGUGGCGGCGGAGUCAAUGAAGGGGAGCCACCUUGAUGAGGUCAAACGCAUGGUGGCGGAGUACAGGAAGCCGGUGGUCCGGUUGGGCGGAGAGACGCUGACUAUAGCUCAGGUGGCUGCCGUUGCAGCACAUGACCAGCACAAUGGUGUGAGCGUUGAACUGUGCGAGUCAGCCAGAGCUGGUGUCAAGGCCAGCAGUGACUGGGUGAUGAAUAGCAUGAACAAAAAUUAACAACUCUCCCAAAUUAACAUUUCCACAUUCAACACAACAAUCUCUCCCUCACAACUUGAGCAACCCAGCUCCACUUUUGUUUUGAUAGGCAAUCUUUCAAGUGAAAUAUAUUUAUCAGUUUGCAUUACUAAGAUGGCAGCAACCACCAACAGCCAAAACAGUUCCCUUUUUUGCACUGCUAAAGGCGGUAGUGAUCCAUUAAAUUGGGGUGUGGCGGCGGAGUCAAUGAAGGGGAGCCACCUUGAUGAGGUCAAACGCAUGGUGGCGGAGUACAGGAAGCCGGUGGUCCGGUAAUGGCACUGACAGUUACGGUGUCACCACCGGCUUCGGCGCCACCUCCCACCGCAGAACCAAAAAUGGCAAUGCUUUGCAGCUAGAACUCAUCAGGUACUAUACUAUACU
RNAcentral lists this long non-coding RNA (646 nucleotides) under Lotus japonicus. RNAcentral's name for it is "long non-coding RNA (LJAP_LNC001523)". The record is from RNAcentral. Lineage: Eukaryota; Viridiplantae; Streptophyta; Magnoliopsida; Fabales; Fabaceae.